CCUACGGGGGGCAGCAGUGAGGAAUAUUGGUCCAUGGACGGAAGUCUGAACCAGCCAUGCCGCGUGCAGGACGACGGCCCUAUGAGUUGUAAACUGCUUUUGUACAAGGGUAAACCUGAAUACGUGUAUUCAGCUGUAAGUACUGUACGCAUAAGGAUCGGCUAACUCCGUGCCAGCAGCCGCGGUAAUACGGAGGAUCCAAGCGUUAUCCGGAUUUAUUGGGUUUAAAGGGUGCGUAGGCGGAUUGAUAAGUUAGAGGUGAAAUGUCCGAGCUUAACUCGGGAACUGACUCUAAUACUGUUGAUCUAGAGAGUAGAUGCGGUAGGCGGAAUGUAUGGUGUAGCGGUGAAAUGCUUAGAGAUCAUUCAGAACACCGAUUGCGAAGGCAGCUUACCAAUCUAUAUCUGACGUUGAGGCACGAAAGCGUGGGGAGCAAACAGGAUUAGAUACCCCUGUAGUC
This 460-nucleotide ribosomal RNA is filed under the name uncultured bacterium. Its description in RNAcentral is "partial 16S ribosomal RNA". It matches the Rfam family "Bacterial small subunit ribosomal RNA", at positions 338 to 795 of the family's 1533-position model. The record is from RNAcentral.